UGGUCCUUUCUUUAUAAAAAAAAAAUUAAAAAAUGUGACGUCAAUAAUGAGACAGAGAUUUGAAUUUUUGGAUUCCAACUUUGCCCUUCCCCGUUUUGAUCUGAAUUUAACAUUCUCUUUCUUCCCUCUUUCAUCAAAUUUUUGAAUUUCUCCAUUCCGAUACCAUUGUUGAGUUCGCUUUCGGCCUUCCGAUAUCGCUC
Molecule: long non-coding RNA, 200 nt
Filed under: Vigna radiata
Lineage: Eukaryota; Viridiplantae; Streptophyta; Magnoliopsida; Fabales; Fabaceae
Description: long non-coding RNA (VRAD_LNC006972)
Source: RNAcentral